AUUGAACGCUGGCGGCAUGCCUUACACAUGCAAGUCGAACGGCAGCACGGGAGCAAUCCUGGUGGCGAGUGGCGAACGGGUGAGUAAUAUAUCGGAACGUGCCCAGUCGUGGGGGAUAACGUAGCGAAAGCUACGCUAAUACCGCAUACGAUCUACGGAUGAAAGCGGGGGAUCGCAAGACCUCGCGCGAUUGGAGCGGCCGAUAUCAGAUUAGCUAGUUGGUGGGGUAAAAGCUCACCAAGGCGACGAUCUGUAGCUGGUCUGAGAGGACGACCAGCCACACUGGAACUGAGACACGGUCCAGACUCCUACGGGAGGCAGCAGUGGGGAAUUUUGGACAAUGGGCGCAAGCCUGAUCCAGCAAUGCCGCGUGCAGGAUGAAGGCCUUCGGGUUGUAAACUGCUUUUGUACGGAACGAAACGGUGAGCUCUAAUAAAGCUUGCUAAUGACGGUACCGUAAGAAUAAGCACCGGCUAACUACGUGACCG
RNAcentral lists this ribosomal RNA (488 nucleotides) under uncultured bacterium. RNAcentral describes it as "bacterial SSU rRNA". It matches the Rfam family "Bacterial small subunit ribosomal RNA", at positions 30 to 511 of the family's 1533-position model. The record is from RNAcentral.